Molecule: long non-coding RNA, 914 nt
Organism: Musa acuminata AAA Group (dessert banana)
Lineage: Eukaryota; Viridiplantae; Streptophyta; Magnoliopsida; Zingiberales; Musaceae
Exons: 3
Source: RefSeq, a predicted model, not a curated record
CAGAGGUCCUUCUCAAGUGAAAAGCCUCUUCUCUCCCUUUGUUUAAAGCUUAUUGGGCAGUUCAUACUUUCAAAUAUGCAUCUCAGGCAAGGCUUCUAUGGAUAUUUGAAGGGAAGGAUUUAAAGAUCAUCUUCAAGAUAAAGUUAUAUCCAAACUACAAAUUCUCAGAAAUCUCAACAGAGAAUUGGAAUUAGUCUUCACCAUGAGAUGAUGCACUUAUUAGAAGGCUGUCGCUGUUUGAUCAAUCACUUUCAGGCCCCAGUCCUACCCACACACGCUGCAACAGAUAGAGAAAAGAAAAGCUUAUGGUUCAUCUGCAUUCAAGCAAGCCACAUGUACUGGUCAAAUUGAAGCUUUCUUUAGGCCUACUUGCAUUAGAGAAUCCAUCAACAACCACACUUGAUGGUCCUCUUUUCCACCAAAGAAAGAAGAAAGAGAAGAAAAAGAAGUGAGUAAUGAACCUUUUUUUUUUUUUUUUUGACAACAACAAUACCUCUGUGGAAACACCGUAGCUGUUUUUUUAAUCUCCUUUCAGUCGUUUUUAUAGAACAAGUUUUCAUAGUGCAAUCGAUCUUUGAAAUCGAAAUCGGAUGAGCCAAAGGUGUAAUAGAAAGUCAACUAAUAAGGAUUUGAUGUAUAUAAUUUUCUAGUUUAUGAGUAAAUAUUUGAAGUAAAUGGUUUAAGCUUGAUGAAGUCAAUAGACUAAUAAUUACUCUUAUCUCCAAAGGAGCAUGAAAAUUAGAGAAAUGGGGGUUCAUGAAUUUGCUUCAGUAGCCAUCAUAAAUUACAAGGAAUCAGAUGUUUGUUUAUCCUGCACAGAUUGAAUAGUAAUCGGUCCAUUCACCAAGGAAGCAUAUGGGAAUAGGGUCUGCAUGCAUGUACACUGUAACACUGCAGCUUUGAAGAUGAUCCAU